Molecule: ribosomal RNA, 244 nt
Filed under: uncultured bacterium
Lineage: Bacteria
Description: partial 16S ribosomal RNA
Rfam family: Bacterial small subunit ribosomal RNA
Source: RNAcentral
UACGGAGGUGCAAGCGUUAAUCGGAAUUACUGGGCGUAAAGCGAGUGUAGGCGGCUGCAUAAGUCGGAUGUGAAAGCCCUGGGCGUUAACCUGGGAACGUGCAUUCGAUACUGUGCGGCUAGAGUCUGAUAGAGGGAAGUGGAAUUCCAGGUGUAGCGGUGAAAUGCGUAGAUAUCUGGAGGAACAUCAGUGGCGAAGGCGGCUUCCUGGAUCAAGACUGACGCUGAGGCUCGAAAGCGUGGGG